CAAGAUAUUUAAUCCACAUUUUAAAUAUGAAUAUUCCCAUAAAUAAGAUUCAAGUGUUGGAUAGAAUACUACACACUUAGAUAUACAAUACAAAGUAAGGAAAUUAAGAAAUAAACAUAAAUGGGUAAGAAAUUCUCAACCACAAGCUACAAAUCUUCAAGAUCAAAGUGUGUGUGCAAAACCCUAGCUUCCAACCUUGUUCUCUCUAGUCUUUAGAACUGAAAAUAUGCCAAAGAUAUUUUACAAAUGAACUGGUUUGGGUAUUAAAGGGUUUGAGGCCAAAAAAUGUGAAAUUCCAAAAUUGUCCAGGUCUGAUGCUCGAUUUUCGCAUUUGCGAACAUAAGUUCGCAAUUGCGAACUAUGGUUAUACUAUUUGACUUCACAUUUGUGAUAAGAACUUCGCAUUUGCGAAGGUUGACUACUUAGUUGACUUUCACAUUUGCGAGGUAUUCUUCGCAUUUGCGAAGACUGCCUGAUUGCCCUUUCUUCUCAAUUGCGAGAAACUUCUCGCGAUUUCCAUCAUUGAUAACUUCGCAAUUCCCAGGUAUAUGUCGCAUUUGCUACAACUGAGGCCCCUUUCCAGAUUUUCUUCUUUUUAACUUCUUUUUGACUCGUUUCACUUUGUUCCUUCAAGAUCACUUCUAAAUCACAUAGAACCUGUAAUAUAGAAGUAAAUGGCAUUAAACACAUAAUUUUAUCACUCAAACAUAGCAAAAAUGUAGGCUUAAAGACAAGAUAAGUUGGUAAAAUACCCAAAAUAACCACUCGUAUACUGACAUAGGCCGGUAAGGCCAUAUAAUCUUUUAUAUACAUGACAUCUGUCUACAAGCCUCUAAGAAUACAUAAUUUUCAUAGAGGUCGGGACAAAAUCCCUCCAUACCAAACAAUACACAUCUAAAUCAUACUAACCAAACAUGCAACUCCGAAGCAAAUGGAGCGCAUCAACAUCUUCCGCUGAGCAGAUAGCCUACUUGGAGGGCUCUCGACCUAUCUAUCGGGACUUGCGGGCAUGAAACGCAGUGUCCCCAGGCAAAAGGGACAUCAGUACAAAUAAUGUACCGAGUAUGUAAGGAAUAAAAAUAAGUAAAUAAUAGACAUGCGAAAAACAUGGAGUAAAAGACUCGACAUGUACAUUUGCAUAGCUCAAUGAAUCAUUUCAUUUUUAUAAUGUCAUGCAUAUGCGUAUAAAUGUCAUACCAUGCAUGGGUAUAUGUGUUCAUAGCAUCAUCAACCCUCUGAGGGCAUCCCAUUAUAUCAUCUCGGCCACUGUGGGCGAAAUCAUCAAAGUAUAUCAGCUGAUCAGGUGGUGCUGCGUAUAUAAUACCAUAACCUUUCCCAUAUCCCAUAUACAUAUAUAUACAUAUAAAUACGCAUAUAUAACGCCAUCUGGUCAUGGGUUAGUGUGCAUGUAUAAAUGCAUGAAAUGCAAAUGAAAUACGUUAAUAAAAAAUAUCUCGGAACGUCAUAAGACCAUUAUGCCUCUGAUUAAUACCAUGAAAUAAACUCCAACUUACGUAUUUUUGAGACCCAUGAACAGAUGAUAAAAUAAUAUGAUACAUGGGGAAUCAAGAACAUAAGCAUCUCUAGUAUUUCUAUGAAUAGAGUUAUUUAUGAAAGUUGUGCAUUUGUUCGUUUCGUUCGUGUCGUUUAGAUCAUGCCAAAAAAAAAGAAGGGAUAACCUUAACAUACCUGAACCGAUCUUUUUGACAAUCCUUCCAAAACAUGCCAAUCGCGAUGAAACACGUAACGACAGGUCAGAGUGGGAGAAAAUCCGUAUGAUAUUCUUGAUAUCAUAGCACGUUAUUUCUUAUCCGACUAAUAUUCACUUCACAAUCUACAUCAUCAAAAAAUUCUCUCGGCCUUCUUCUAUCAUGUCUUCAAAAUUUCUCCAAGUUAUAUCAUUAAUAAAGAAGGCAAACAAAGGUAAACAAAGGACUUAUUAUGCAUUUUGGUGUUAUGCCCAGAAUAAAG
Molecule: long non-coding RNA, 1971 nt
Filed under: Nicotiana tabacum (common tobacco)
Lineage: Eukaryota; Viridiplantae; Streptophyta; Magnoliopsida; Solanales; Solanaceae
Description: long non-coding RNA (NTAB_LNC006304)
Source: RNAcentral